This 292-nucleotide ribosomal RNA is filed under the name uncultured bacterium. RNAcentral's name for it is "partial 16S ribosomal RNA". It matches the Rfam family "Bacterial small subunit ribosomal RNA", at positions 505 to 796 of the family's 1533-position model. The record is from RNAcentral.
GUGCCAGCAGCCGCGGUAAGACAGAGGGUGCAAACGUUGCUCGGAAUUACUGGGCGUAAAGCGCGUGUAGGUGGACCAGCAAGUCAGGCGUGAAAUCCCUAGGCUCAACCUAGGAACUGCACCUGAAACUUCUGGUCUUGAGUGGUGGAGAGGAAAGCAGAAUUCCUGGUGUAGAGGUGAAAUUCGUAGAUAUCAGGAGGAACACCGGUGGCGAAGGCGGCUUUCUGGACACUUACUGACACUGAGACGCGAAAGCGUGGGGAGCAAACAGGAUUAGAUACCCCGGUAGUCC